RNAcentral lists this ribosomal RNA (458 nucleotides) under uncultured bacterium. RNAcentral describes it as "bacterial SSU rRNA". It matches the Rfam family "Bacterial small subunit ribosomal RNA", at positions 44 to 518 of the family's 1533-position model. The record is from RNAcentral.
AUGGAUUAGGCAUGCAAGUCGAACGAGAAAGCGGCUUCGGCCGCGAGUAAAGUGGGCGAAAGGGUGAGUAACACGUGAGGAACCUGCCCCCUGGUUCGGAACAAGCCUGUGAAAACGGGUCUGAAACCGGAUGAGGCCCCUCCCGCAUGGGGGGAGGGCCAAAUAUUCAUAGCCAAGGGAUGGCCUCGCGGCCCAUUAGCUAGUUGGCGGGGUGACGGCCCACCAAGGCUACGACGGGUAGGUGGUCUGAGAGGAUGGUCACCCACACUGGGACUGAGACACUGCCCAGACUCCUACGGGAGGCUGCAGUCGAGAAUCUUCCGCAAUGGGCGCAAGCCUGACGGAGCGAUGCCGCGUGAGGGACGAAGGCCUUCGGGUCGUAAACCUCUGUCGAGGGGAACGAACGCAAUGACGGUACCCCUCAAGAAAGCCACGGCUAACCACGUGCCAGCAGCCGC